This 290-nucleotide ribosomal RNA is filed under the name uncultured Pseudomonas sp. RNAcentral describes it as "partial 16S ribosomal RNA". It matches the Rfam family "Bacterial small subunit ribosomal RNA", at positions 1095 to 1382 of the family's 1533-position model. The record is from RNAcentral. Lineage: Bacteria; Pseudomonadati; Pseudomonadota; Gammaproteobacteria; Pseudomonadales; Pseudomonadaceae.
AGCGCAACCCUUGUCCUUAGUUACCAGCACGUUAUGGUGGGCACUCUAAGGAGACUGCCGGUGACAAACCGGAGGGAAGGUGGGGGAUGACGUCAAGUCAUCAUGGCCCUUACGGCCUGGGCUACACACGUGCUACAAUGGUCGGUACAAAGGGUUGCCAAGCCGCGAGGUGGAGCUAAUCCCAUAAAACCGAUCGUAGUCCGGAUCGCAGUCUGCAACUCGACUGCGUGAAGUCGGAAUCGCUAGUAAUCGUGAAUCAGAAUGUCACGGUGAAUACGUUCCCGGGCCUU